RNAcentral lists this microRNA (22 nucleotides) under Caenorhabditis briggsae. Its description in RNAcentral is "cbr-miR-240". Its record names the gene cbr-miR-240. The record is from miRBase by way of RNAcentral. Lineage: Eukaryota; Metazoa; Nematoda; Chromadorea; Rhabditida; Rhabditidae.
UACUGGCCUCCAAAUUUUCGCU